GGGUUGUGAGGUUAAGCGACUAAGCGUACACGGUGGAUGCCCUGGCAGUCAGAGGCGAUGAAGGACGUGCUAAUCUGCGAAAAGCGCCGGCGAGGUGAUAUGAACCUUUGACCCGGCGAUGUCCGAAUGGGGAAACCCAGUGUGUUCCGACACACUAUCGUUAACUGAAUACAUAGGUUAACGAGGCGAACCGGGGGAACUGAAACAUCUAAGUACCCCGAGGAAAAGAAAUCAACCGAGAUUCCCCCAGUAGCGGCGAGCGAACGGGGAGCAGCCCAGAGUCUGAAUCAGCUUGUGUGUUAGUGGAAGCGUCUGGAAAGUCGCACGGUACAGGGUGACAGUCCCGUACACGAAAGCACACAGGUUGUGAACUCGAAGAGUAGGGCGGGACACGUGGUAUCCUGUCUGAAUAUGGGGGGACCAUCCUCCAAGGCUAAAUACUCCUGACUGACCGAUAGUGAACCAGUACCGUGA
RNAcentral lists this ribosomal RNA (474 nucleotides) under Lelliottia nimipressuralis. Its description in RNAcentral is "partial 23S ribosomal RNA". It matches the Rfam family "Bacterial large subunit ribosomal RNA", at positions 1 to 506 of the family's 2925-position model. The record is from RNAcentral. Lineage: Bacteria; Pseudomonadati; Pseudomonadota; Gammaproteobacteria; Enterobacterales; Enterobacteriaceae.